UUAUCCCAGUUGCCAUCAGGUAAAGACUGGGAACUCUGGGGAGACUGCCGGUGAUAACCGGAGGAAGGCGGGGAUGACGUCAAGUCCUCAUGGCCCUUACAUCCCGGGCUACACACGUGCUACAAUGGCAGGUACAGAGGGCUGCGAAGCCGCGAGGUGGAGCGAAUCCCAGAAAACCUGUCUCAGUCCGGAUUGAAGUCUGCAACUCGACUUCAUGAAGGCGGAAUCGCUAGUAACCGCGAAUCAGCAGGUCGCGGUGAAUACGUUCCCGGGCCUU
RNAcentral lists this ribosomal RNA (277 nucleotides) under uncultured Latescibacterota bacterium. RNAcentral describes it as "uncultured Latescibacteria bacterium partial 16S ribosomal RNA". It matches the Rfam family "Bacterial small subunit ribosomal RNA", at positions 1106 to 1382 of the family's 1533-position model. Lineage: Bacteria; Pseudomonadati; Candidatus Latescibacterota. The record is from RNAcentral.